This 253-nucleotide ribosomal RNA is filed under the name uncultured bacterium. RNAcentral describes it as "partial 16S ribosomal RNA". It matches the Rfam family "Bacterial small subunit ribosomal RNA", at positions 524 to 776 of the family's 1533-position model. The record is from RNAcentral.
UACGUAGGUGGCGAGCGUUGUCCGGAUUUACUGGGCGUAAAGGGAGCGUAGGCGGACUUUUUAGUGAGAUGUGAAAUACUCGGGCUCAACUUGAGUGCUGCAUUUCAAACUGGAAGUCUAGAGUGCAGGAGAGGAGAAUGGAAUUCCUAGUGUAGCGGUGAAAUGCGUAGAGAUUAGGAAGAACACCAGUGGCGAAGGCGAUUCUCUGGACUGUAACUGACGCUGAGGCUCGAAAGCGUGGGGAGCAAACAGG